GGGCGAGUAGUCUAGUUCGGUUAUGAUGCCACCCUUACGAAGUGGAGGUCCCCGGUUCGAAUCCGGGCUCGCCCA
RNAcentral lists this transfer RNA (75 nucleotides) under Candidatus Wukongarchaeota archaeon. Its description in RNAcentral is "tRNA-Val". It matches the Rfam family "tRNA". From Rfam's summary of the family: Transfer RNA (tRNA) molecules are approximately 80 nucleotides in length. Their secondary structure includes four short double-helical elements and three loops (D, anti-codon, and T loops). Lineage: Archaea; Promethearchaeati; Candidatus Wukongarchaeota. The record is from RNAcentral.